UGGGGAAUUUUGGACAAUGGGCGAAAGCCUGAUCCAGCAAUGCCGCGUGUGUGAAGAAGGCCUUCGGGUUGGUUAAAAGCACUUUUGUCCGGAAAGAAAUCCUUGGCUCUAAUACAGUCGGGGGAUGACGGUACCGGAAGAAUAAGCACCGGCUAACUACGUGCCAGCAGCCGCGGUAAUACGUAGGGUGCAAGCGUUAAUCGGAAUUACUGGGCGUAAAGCGUGCGCAGGCGGUUUGCUAAGACCGAUGUGAAAUCCCCGGGCUCAACCUGGGAACUGCAUUUGGUGACUGGCAGGCUAGAGUAUGGCAGAGGGGGGUAGAAUUCCACGUGUAGCAGCCGAAAUGCGUAGAGAUGUGGAGGAAUACCGAUGGCGAAGGCAGCCCCCUGGGCCAAUACUGACGCUCAUGCACGAAAGCGUGGGGAGCAAACAGGAUUAGAUACCCUGGUAGUCCACGCCCUAAACGAUGUCAACUAGUUGUUGGGGAUUCAUUUCCUUAGUAACGUAGCUAACGCGUGAAGUUG
This 524-nucleotide ribosomal RNA is filed under the name uncultured bacterium. Its description in RNAcentral is "partial 16S ribosomal RNA". It matches the Rfam family "Bacterial small subunit ribosomal RNA", at positions 355 to 867 of the family's 1533-position model. The record is from RNAcentral.